UAUGAUUCGAUGAUGGGAAAGUAAUUACGUUUAGCUCUAGCAGAGAGGAGUUGCCUUGGCUGAAAGCAGCUCUUUGAACUGACGUAAGGAAAGACACCCGGAGAUUUUCUUGCUGAACAUGUAAUCUUACAUCAGUAGGCUAGAACGUAGACUGGCGUUAACAGGCUUGAGUGGAAGACUGUAUGUAGUUUUCAAUCAGGGUGGAACCACGGGAAUUCAACUCUCGUCCCUUUG
This 234-nucleotide non-coding RNA is filed under the name Seinonella peptonophila. RNAcentral describes it as "T-box sequence". It matches the Rfam family "T-box leader". From Rfam's summary of the family: Uncharged tRNA acts as the effector for transcription antitermination of genes in the T-box leader family. T-boxes are found upstream of many aminoacyl-tRNA synthetase genes and some amino acid biosynthetic genes usually in Gram-positive bacteria. The record is from RNAcentral. Lineage: Bacteria; Bacillati; Bacillota; Bacilli; Caryophanales; Thermoactinomycetaceae.